RNAcentral lists this ribosomal RNA (497 nucleotides) under uncultured bacterium. RNAcentral's name for it is "partial 16S ribosomal RNA". It matches the Rfam family "Bacterial small subunit ribosomal RNA", at positions 28 to 507 of the family's 1533-position model. The record is from RNAcentral.
GAUGAACGCUGGCGGCGUGCCUAAUACAUGCAAGUCGAGCGAACAGACGAGGAGCUUGCUCCUCUGACGUUAGCGGCGGACGGGAGAGUAACACGUGGAUAACCUACCUAUAAUACUGGUAUAACUUCGGGAAACGGGCGCUAAUCCCGGAUAAGAUAUUGAAGCGCAUGGGUCAAUAGUGAAAGACGGUUUUGCGGUCACUUCUAGCUGGAUCCACGCCGCAUUAGCUAGUUGGUAGGGUAACGGCUUACCAAGGCAACGAUGCGUAGCCGAACUGAGAGAGUGAUCGGCCACAUUGGAGCUGAAACACGGACCAGACGCCUACGGGAGGCAGCAGUCGGGUAUCUUCCGCAGUGGGCGAGAGCCUGACGCAGCGACGCCGCGUGAGUGAUGAAGGUCUUCGGAUCGGGAAGAUGUGUUAUUAGGGAAGAACAGCUGUGUAAGUUACUAUGCACGUCUUGACGGUAACUAGUCAGAAAGCCACGGCUAACUACGUG